Molecule: ribosomal RNA, 901 nt
Filed under: uncultured bacterium
Lineage: Bacteria
Description: bacterial SSU rRNA
Rfam family: Bacterial small subunit ribosomal RNA
Source: RNAcentral
AGAGUUUGAUCCUGGCUCAGGAUGAACGCUAGCGGGAGGCUUAACACAUGCAAGUCGAGCGGGAUUUAGUAGCUUGCUACUAAUGAGAGCGGCGCACGGGUGAGUAACGCGUAUGCAACCUACCUUUUACAGGGGAAUAGCCCAGAGAAAUUUGGAUUAAUACCUCAUAGUACAUAGAAUUCGCAUGAUUUCUAUGUUAAAGCUUCGGCGGUAAAAGAUGGGCAUGCGUGACAUUAGAUUGUUGGCGGGGUAACGGCCCACCAAGUCUACGAUGUCUAGGGGUUCUGAGAGGAUGAUCCCCCACACUGGUACUGAGACACGGACCAGACUCCUACGGGAGGCAGCAGUGAGGAAUAUUGGUCAAUGGGCGCAAGCCUGAACCAGCCAUCCCGCGUGAAGGAAGACUGCCCUAUGGGUUGUAAACUUCUUUUAUGUACCAAGAAUGUGAUCUACGAGUAGAUUUUUGACGGUAGUACAUGAAUAAGCAUCGGCUAACUCCGUGCCAGCAGCCGCGGUAAUACGGAGGAUGCGAGCGUUAUCCGGAUUCAUUGGGUUAAGGGUGCGUAGGCGGUUUCUUAGUCAGUGGUGAAAUCUGCGCUCACCGUAGAACUGCCAUUGAAACUGAGCAACUUGAAUAUAGAUGAGGUAGGCGGAAUGAGUAGUGUAGCGGUGAAAUGCUUAGAUAUACUCAGAACACCGAUGCGAAGGCAGCUUACUAAACUAUCAUUGACGCUGAUGCACGAAAGCGUGGGUAGCGAACAGGAUUAGAUACCCUGGUAGUCCACGCCGUAAACGAUGUUCACUCGCUGUAUGCGAUACACAGUAUGCGGCCAAGCGAAAGUAUUAAGUGAACCACCUGGGGAGUACGUCGGCCAACGGUGAAACUCAAAGGAAUUGACGG